Nerophis lumbriciformis (worm pipefish) is the source of this 430-nucleotide non-coding RNA. The record is from RefSeq and is a predicted model, not a curated record. Lineage: Eukaryota; Metazoa; Chordata; Actinopteri; Syngnathiformes; Syngnathidae.
UUACUAGUGAGAUAUGUUGUUUGCACAAAUUGUUUGCAGCAGAGCACGGUAAUUUAUUUGAGUAAAAUAAACAUUAUUUUUUACAUCAACUCAUAAGUUAUGUGAAACUUCCCCAGGAGCAUUGUUAAAAUACUUUGGAGGCACAGAAUCAGCCCAGAGCCAGUCCACAUCCUCAGGCUCAACUGUGAGUGAUGAAUCAGGUCCAUCUCCAUCCUCUACAGUGCUCUCUCACACACCUCCACCCUCUGUGCCCACUGUCCCCUCCAUGUCUGAAACCACAGCUGAUUUAUCUACAACUUCCACCACAACGUCCCCUUCACACCAUGGACCAUCAUCAGCUCCGCCAGUUGACCCAGCUGAGUGGCCUUCUUUCCUCUCAGAUUCAGACAGGACUGAGCAGGUGAUCAGAGGACCACUGUCUAUUAAGGAG